Molecule: ribosomal RNA, 484 nt
Filed under: uncultured bacterium
Lineage: Bacteria
Description: partial 16S ribosomal RNA
Rfam family: Bacterial small subunit ribosomal RNA
Source: RNAcentral
AUUGAACGCUGGCGGCAGGCCUAACACAUGCAAGCCGAGCGGCUGAAGGGAGCUUGCUCCUGGAUUCAGAAGCGGAUGGGUGAGUAAUGCCUAGGCAUCUGCCUGGUAGUGCGGGAUAACGUCAGGAACAGGGUGCUCAUACGCCACAAGUCCUGCGGGAGAAAGUGGGGGAUGUUCGGACAUCACGCUAUCAGAUGAGCCUAUGUCGGAUUAGCUAGAUGGUGGGGUAAGGGCCGACCAAGGCAACGAACCGUAACUGGUCUGAGAGGAAGAAAAGGCACAGUGGAUCAGAGACACUUGCCAGACUCCUGCGGGAGGCAGCAGUGUUGAAUAUAGUAGAAUUGGCGAAAAUCUGAUCCAGCCAAGCCGCAUGUAGGAUGAAGGUUUUCGGUUGGUAGAGCACUUUAAGUUGGGAGGGAGUACAGGAAUUUAAUACCUUGCUUUUUUGACGUUACCGACAGAAUAAGCUGCGGCUGGCUUCUUG